ACAGGAUCUCCUUAGGCAAAGUUGCUGAGGCUGGCCUCCAAUUUGCCAUCCUCCUGCCUGAGGCUCCCGAGUAGCUGGGAUGAUAGGCAUAUGCCACUGCACCCAGCUUUUUCCUAGUUUUAAUGAGUUGGGAAGUGUAGUUUUAGACAUCAUUUAACACUUAAUAUUUUGCAGAGCACUUGCAAUAGAAUUGUCUGUUAAGGUAGGUCUCUAGGAAGUCUCAAGAGUGAUCAGCACAGGACACGUCCAAGCCACGUGAUGGGUACAACAGGUAGAACUGAGGUUGCUAUAAAAAAUGACUCAAUAAAUCUUCAGGGAAAGUUGUAAGCCAUCGUGAAAUCUUCAGGAAAGUUUACAAUGAAAUCAUAUCUUACUUACUUUGCUCUGAUAAGACUGCUACAGUGUUGUCUACAGACUUAAAGAAACAUUUUAAGUCUGUGGGUCAAUGAAGAACGGGAACAGUUAAGGCAAGGAGAAGGGCUGAAUUAGUAGACCCGACUCAGGCCAUCGAUAUGAACAGCAGGCCCCACAGAAAACAGGAUGCGUUUUCCAGCAAAGGACCCAGGACAGAAAUAUCCAGACCGUCGGCACAUCCUGUUCAAUGGGGCCCGUGUGCCAAGUGCAGGCAAAAGUCCCCUUCACUUGUGUCUAAACCUGACUUAUUUCUGGGAGAAUGACUAAGGGGAGAAAUAAUUGAUAAACUAAGUAUCUAAUAUAUAAACAUAUCACUGAAAGCACUUCUGCUUCUUCAUUUAUCAGAAAGGGUACGGACCAGGGAAGACAAGGACUAAGCUCUGGUUGUUUACAGUGGAUUUAAAAUUAUACAGUCAGA
RNAcentral lists this long non-coding RNA (832 nucleotides) under Marmota monax (woodchuck). The record is from RNAcentral. Lineage: Eukaryota; Metazoa; Chordata; Mammalia; Rodentia; Sciuridae.